Molecule: ribosomal RNA, 308 nt
Filed under: uncultured archaeon
Lineage: Archaea
Description: bacterial SSU rRNA
Rfam family: Archaeal small subunit ribosomal RNA
Source: RNAcentral
CGGUUCUACAAGUCUUCCGUUAAAUCCACCUGCUCAACAGAUGGGCUGCGGAAGAUACUAUGGAGCUAGGAGGCGGGAGAGGCAAGCGGUACUCGAUGGGUAGGGGUAAAAUCCGUUGAUCCAUUGAAGACCACCAGUGGCGAAGGCGGCUUGCCAGAACGCGCUCGACGGUGAGGGAUGAAAGCUGGGGGAGCAAACCGGAUUAGAUACCCGGGUAGUCCCAGCUGUAAACGAUGCAGACUCGGUGAUGAGUUGGCUUUAUGCCAACUCAGUGCCGCAGGGAAGCCGUUAAGUUUGCCGCCUGGGGA